UACGGAGGGUGCAAGCGUUAAUCGGAAUCACUGGGCGUAAAGCGUGCGUAGGCGGCCUGUCAAGUCAGGUGUGAAAGCCCUCGGCUUAACCGAGGAAUUGCACUUGAAACUGAUGGGCUGGAGUUCUGGAGAGGGUGGCGGAAUUCCCGGUGUAGGAGUGAAAUCCGUAGAUAUCGGGAGGAACACCAGUGGCGAAGGCGGCCACCUGGACAGUAACUGACGCUGAGGUACGAAAGCGUGGGGAGCAAACAGGAUUAGAUACCCUGGUAGUCCACGCUGUAAACGAUGGAUGCUAGGUGUCGGGCAGCAAUGUUCGGUGCCGUAGUUAACGCGUUAAGCAUCCCGCCUGGGGAGUACGGUCGCAAGGCUGAA
Molecule: ribosomal RNA, 372 nt
Filed under: uncultured bacterium
Lineage: Bacteria
Description: bacterial SSU rRNA
Rfam family: Bacterial small subunit ribosomal RNA
Source: RNAcentral